UGCCAGAGCUGACCAACUGUGG
RNAcentral lists this non-coding RNA (22 nucleotides) under Mus musculus (house mouse). The record is from RNAcentral. Lineage: Eukaryota; Metazoa; Chordata; Mammalia; Rodentia; Muridae.